This 5555-nucleotide long non-coding RNA is filed under the name Citrus x clementina. Its description in RNAcentral is "Citrus clementina (C. clementina) long non-coding RNA (CCLE_LNC000841)". The record is from RNAcentral. Lineage: Eukaryota; Viridiplantae; Streptophyta; Magnoliopsida; Sapindales; Rutaceae.
CUACUGCCUAAUUUUCAUAUUAAGCUAAUAUGGAUUAGCAAAAACUGCAUUAUCAAGCCUAUGGAGAAGUACAUAUAUUUAUUGUACAACAAAUAGUAUUUAAGAUUCAAAUUACUAGUAUUUCCUGUAUCACAAUAAAAAGUCUAUCAUUUUAACACAUCCCAAAUUGGGUAUCCAUUACAUUGUACAUUAAAAAAAAAUUCUUUACAACGAAAAUUACAUUCUUCACAAGCAUCAAAACUCCAUCUCCGAGGCAACUAUCAACAUUCUUAAUCCAGCAACAAUACUACAAUACUAAAUUAAAAUAGUUAAAAAUAAUGCAACAAUUAUGUGUGCACAUAACCAAUAUGAAAGAUACAACUAAAUAAAAAUUACUUAUAAUUUAUAUACAUAUCUUGCCAAACUCAUUGAACUAUCUGUUGAAUUUAGCCAAAACUAUUCUUCUAUAUCUACUUUGCUCGUUAGGUUGCUAUUGACUUUAUUAACAUUGUCUUGAGGUGCAAGCAUCUUAUCCAACCAACUACCUUAUACAAAAUAGCCAAUAUCAAUGGACACAACACUAUUAAAGUUUUCAAAACAUUUUAAAUAAAUACCUUAUCCAACCAAGUACAAUAUACAUAAAAGUGCAUUAUGAUUAACAAUAGAAUUAUUAAAAAAAAAAAAAGAAAAAGGGAUGAUUAGAACUUACAAUAAUACAAAGUUCUUCAAACAUUGGUUAAGUUCAUAAAGAGAUGUGCACUAUAUAUGUCAAAAUAUAAUAGCAUUUCUUUAUAACAAAAAUUUAAAUGCUAAGCAUAAUUAAUCAAAUAAUAAACUUGAUAUUGUUAUAAUGCGAUUUCUUGCUUUUACCUCUUAGAGACUAGACUUACCAAAUCCGAUAAUCAUUAGUAACCUGAAUUUAAUUUUUUCUAGUAUUGCGAAGUUAGUUAUUCAACUAGUCUCAUAAUUUUUGUUUCUCUUUUCAACUUAAGUGAUAACAAUGGCAUGAUAAAACUAUUCUUAGCAAGGAUUUCAUUAUCUCGAGAGUCAUAAAUCAUGUACUAAAUCAAAGUAGAUUUCAUUUGUAUGAAACUAUGACUACUUGCACUAAAGAAUCAACAUACGGAUUGUUAUAAUUUAUAAACAAUUAAUCAAUUUUUACUACAGUAUAAUAAAUAUCUAAAUAUCCAAUUUUCUCCUUUCCCUUUAAAUAUAUAUCCAAAUUUCAAUCAAUCUAAAUAAUAAUAAUUAUAGCAACAACAAUAACAAUAAUAAUAAAUGAAAAACCCCAACCUUGAAAUACCUGGCAUUUACUCAAAUUUUCAAAAUCUUCUAUUUCUAUUUCACUGUAUUGAUUCCAGAUCUAACAUUCAAACAUGAAUUAUGAAAAAAAGGAAAAACAAAGAUCUCAUUCACAUGAACUAUCCCCAAAUAAACGAAUCAUCAUUAUUUUUCAAUGAAUUAAACAAAUUAAAGAAAUAGAAAACACCUCAUUGUAAGGAUCCAAGCUUUUUAAAAACAGAAGUGUCAAAUGCUUUAUUCCUUUUCUGGAAGAUGUGAACCCAAACUUCCAAAUCUUCAAUUUUUGACUUGUUCUUCGCGGUUCGUGAUUGCGAUUGACUUCACGAUUUUCUCUCUCUUCACUCCCACUUUGCGUUUCUUCACUCUUCAAGAGCGGCGGCUGUAAAUUUAGAAUAAUAACUGUAGAAGAGAUGAAAUUAGGGUUGAUUAUUUGGGGACAAUUGCAAAAGGGUGGUAUUUUUAGUGAUAAGUUUGGAGAAGGAAUUUUGAGAAGAGGAAAAUGAAAGAGAGAGAGAGAGAGGUACAACUUGAAGAAAUUAGGGAUUUGAGGGAACUUAGGGUGAUUUUUUUAUUUAUACAUCUAUAUAAAAAUGCCGUUUUUUAAAUUACGAGUCAUAUGUUUACCUUAUAAAAUAUGACGUGUUUUUGUAUAACGAGUCAUCUUUUAACUUCCUAUCAAAUUAAAAUUAUCAUAGAUGACUCUCUAACUAUAGAAAAAGUCAUCUAAAAGAAAAGAUAACAAUUGUUUAGAUGUGAAUCGUCUAUUGAAUGUCAUCUAUCUCACUUACUGUAGUAGUGGAAUUUGUAUUUGAUGUUUAAUUAUAAUUUCUUGAAGUUUUUAUGUGUUUCAUUGAGUUAUAAUCUUUCUAAUGCCUUGCUUUCUUCUAUUUUAGAACUAGUUUUGAGAUGGAUACCCGUAUUGCAUCUGACAAAAUUUGAGUGUUGUUACAAAUACUUUAUUUGUGAAUAUGGUUUUGUAAUUUUUAUGCGUUGGCUUGCGGUAAAAUUACUAAUGUUAAAAUAUAGUGGAGAUAGAGUUCUUAAGAAAAUGUGUUGAUUACAUUUAUUGGCAAUAUAGUAACAUGUGAUGAACUUUUUUCUCCUUUUAUUAAAUUAGGCAAUUAAAUUGUCAAUUUUGCUUUCUUUUACCUUCUAUGUUCUUUUUUUCUUUGGGGCUACGAUAGAUAUUUUCAUUGGAUAGUUCAACUUAUAAAAAAAUAGCUAUGCACAAUUAUUAGACUGUAAACUAUUAUUAAGGUAUGCAUGUUCGUUCAUAGUUAAAUUGAUUAUUGCUCUAAUUCUUUUCUUGAACAUGAAUAAGAUGCAGAGUUACGGGACUAGUAUUCUAAGGCCAACAAUUGAGGGCAUGGCAAAAGAAUGGAGAGGCUGUUUAGGAUAUUUUGUGAAAUUUUGGGUUGUUGUUGCUUGAAUACCUCAAUGAUAUGGAUUAUAUGGUUAAAUGGAUAUCCAUGUUUUAUUAAUUGGAUUCUUUAAUUUUUUGUAUCAUAUUUUGUAUUUAUUUUAGAUUUAUAAAUUUAUUCUAAAAACAAAUUUUCUGAGAAUUCUAAUAAUAAUAAUAAUUCAACACAAAUAAUAAUAACAAUACAAUUCAAAAAUAAUGCUUUUAAGUAAUUUUAAUAUUCAGAUAAUACCAAUUUACAGCCAAAAAGUUUAAAAAUGCCAAAAAUUUUAAUAAUUUUAAUUUCUCAUUAAAAUAUUGUGUGACAGAUAUGUGACUGUGAAAAAUCAUCAUGAAUUCAUGAUGGAAAAUAUUCUGUCAUGAAUUAAUGACAGUGACAAAAAUGACAGAUAAUUUGUCUGUCAUACAUCCCCUUAUAUGACAAUUAUUUACUGUCAUCUAUUGCCUAUUUUCUUGUAGUGUGGAGCUAUCAACUCAAUUCCAAGAUCAACAAACCACCUAAUAAUGGUUUAAUUUAGAUAAAAAAACCACCUAUCAACACUUGGUGAGUUUAUAAUAAGUUGGUGGCAAUCACUAAGAUGGAGUCUCAUAUUGUGUAAGGUUUCAACAUGUUGUAAUCUCUUGAGCCUAGCAAAUUACUCAAUAUUUGAGUGUGGCUCCAUGGAUGCAGUGAAUAACGUAAAAAUCUUCUUGUGUACUUUAAAAGUUUUUGUCUUACUAGGAAUACAUCUUUGUAUUGGCUUUUGAAUUAAGGAUGUUCUAAUUUCUAUGGCCAAGUUUUGCAUCUGCUUUUGAUUUAGAUGUUCCAACUAUAAAAGCCUAGUGUAUUAAAAAAGAAAAAACUAUGAAGGCCUAAGAAUCUAAUUAUCUCGUUUAGAGUAUUGAUAUUUGAUUAUCUCAUUUUAUCUCACCAAACCCUAUUAAUGAUUCCAAUUUUAUCUUGUACAAAAAUACUAAAAAGUACAUAAGAUUUUUCUCUUUAGACUCUAUCAUUUCGCAAACUUAUAUAUAUUAUAAAUUUCAUGUCACCAAACAACUAAACUAUUUCAAAAGAAAAAAAUAACAAUUUUAUUCUUUUAGAAACAAUUUGAUCAAAUCUCUUCAUUGGCAGCAAACAAAAUCAAUUCCAUAUCCAAAACCAAAUAAAUGAUCAAGUUUAGAAAGGUCUAUCCAUCGCUUGGAUUGCUAAAAUCAUUCCCUUGAUAGCUUUUAACAAGAGAAAGAACAUUAUGGAGAUUGACCAAUUAGCAAAUGCAAAAGAUUAAAAUUACUAAAAGUGAGCAAUUAAGCUUUUUCAACAUGUGAUUUUUGCUUUCUCAUAUUGCUGAAACAAAUAACGUGAAACUGAGGAUUUUUUUCUUUUUUGUCUAAGCAUUUUUAUUGCAACUACCAAAAUGUUAGGACUUUUAUCAUUACAUCAGUGCGUCAAUAAUAUUGUUAUUUAUUUGUUCCUUGCAUUAGGGAUUUGUCUUGUCAUAGGUACUUAGAGAUUACUAUGUCUAUGGGUAGGAAUAUAGCAAGUAUAUUUAAUAUGUGGAAUGGGGUGAAAUCCAAUGAUCCUCUUUUAAAAAAGGAAAAACGCUAUGUUGGGAAAUUGAAACUUUAAACUGAACGUCGGUCUCAAAGUUUCACUGUGAGGCUGGCAUCAUCACUGUUGAUUGUGCGGAUGAUGCCAUGGGUUUAGGUGUUGUGAUGUGUGAUUGUCAUGGGUAUGUUAGGGUUGCUACUAUUUUUGCAAUUAGUAUUUUCUAAGUUAUUGCUAAUAUUUUACAACCCAUGGAACAACGAUAAGCUUUUCAAAUUCAUCAUAUUUUGUGUAAUUUUAAAUAGCUCAAGCCAUGUACUAGCCAAGUUAGCUCUUUUAAAUUCUGUUAUUUAGCUAGAUAACUUUUUAGAACGUUUGUGCGCACUUUAAUUAUAAUGAAGUUAUUGAUUGCUAAAAAAAAAGCGCACACAAAAGUUCUAAAUCUUAAUUAGAAGUAUUUGUUUUUCUUUUUUUCCUUUAUAACAUCAUUAUUAGGGUUAAAAGAAAAAUUAUUCGACCGGAUUUAUUCAAUAGUGUAUAAGUAAUUUUUCUCUUUUAGUAAUCCGACAUAGUAAUGAACUUACCCAUGUUUCAUAUACAUAUAUUUCUCAACCCUAGUAACUAAUUAGUUAAAUAUUUCUCGAACAUAGUAAGUAAAUAUUAUGAUUUAUUAUUACAAACCACCGUAUUAGUAUCUAUCUAUGAUUUAACAAUAGGUUAAUAUAGAUAUCGUGGAUUUAGUGAUCUUCAUUCUUCAUACUACCUUUCAGGACAUGGAGGUACAUCGUAUUGAUGUAAGUGGCACUUGUGGGAUAUAAUACAGUUCUUAGAAGAGGCAAAGAAAAGAGGAACUUAAAGUCAUCAUCAUAAUUCUCACUACCUAUCAGCCUAUAAAUCCCUAAUUAUUUCACAUAUCAUCAACAAUUUAAUAUAACACAUAAACCUGUAAUUCUUUCACAUAUCAUUUUCAAUAGUCACCAUAAAAACACAAGAAUCAUCAUUACCUUGUCUUUAACUAAAAAAUGAAAGAGACCAGCUCAAGAUGACACUAACUGAUUGAUGGAUUCAACUUGUUAUUUGCUGUGUGUUACAUGGUAGCUUCGAUUUUAUGUGAUUAGUAAACAAUCUAAGAGACAAAUCAAUAUUUCAGAGAGUGAUAGUAAGAGAGGUGAAAGAGAUGUUUGAGAUUUGAAGGAGGGAAAACGUAAUGGAUUUCAGCAACCAUUUAACAAGUAACCCGUUACUUUUUAUUUUUAAUUUAAUCUCAACCGUUGGACUCAUUUUACUUGAAUCCAACGGCUACAAAUAAAAAUUGGCACAAUGCUAGGC